AUUGAACGCUGGCGGCAGGCCUAACACAUGCAAGUCGAACGGUAACAGGAAGCGGCUUGCUGCUUUGCUGACGAGUGGCGGACGGGUGAGUAAUGUCUGGGAAACUGCCCGAUGGAGGGGGAUAACUACUGGAAACGGUAGCUAAUACCGCAUAACGUCGCAAGACCAAAGAGGGGGACCUUAGGGCCUCUUGCCAUCGGAUGUGCCCAGAUGGGAUUAGCUAGUAGGUGGGGUAACGGCUCACCUAGGCGACGAUCCCUAGCUGGUCUGAGAGGAUGACCAGCCACACUGGAACUGAGACACGGUCCAGACUCCUACGGGAGGCAGCAGUGGGGAAUAUUGCACAAUGGGCGCAAGCCUGAUGCAGCCAUGCCGCGUGUAUGAAGAAGGCCUUCGGGUUGUAAAGUACUUUCAGCGGGGAGGAAGGGAGUAAAGUUAAUACCUUUGCUCAUUGACGUUACCCGCAGAAGAAGCACCGGCUAACUCCGUG
Molecule: ribosomal RNA, 490 nt
Filed under: uncultured bacterium
Lineage: Bacteria
Description: partial 16S ribosomal RNA
Rfam family: Bacterial small subunit ribosomal RNA
Source: RNAcentral